This 310-nucleotide non-coding RNA is filed under the name marine eukaryotic metagenome. The record is from RNAcentral.
AGCUUCAAUGCAGACCCGUCGGAGAGUUCUUGUAUAGUUUGAACAGACGCUUUACCGUAUGACUUGGUUCCAAGAAUUUUUGCUCUUUUAUUAUCUUGUAAUGCUCCUGCAACAAUCUCUGAGGCUGAAGCAGAUCCUUCAUUGAUCAUUAUUACGAGAGGAAUCCCAUUAGUUAUAUCUUGAGGAGUAGCUUUAUACUUUAAGACAGAGUUAAGUGACCGUCCUUUUGUCUCAACAAUCCUGCCAGUUUGAAGAAAUAAAUCACUUAUUCCUACAGCAGCCCCAAGAACUCCACCUGGGUUAUUCCUUA